RNAcentral lists this ribosomal RNA (915 nucleotides) under uncultured archaeon. RNAcentral describes it as "bacterial SSU rRNA". It matches the Rfam family "Archaeal small subunit ribosomal RNA", at positions 1 to 923 of the family's 1478-position model. The record is from RNAcentral.
UUCCGGUUGAUCCUGCCGGACCUGACUGCUAUCGGAUUGAUACUAAGCCAUGCGAGUCAUUGUAGCAAUACAAGGCAGACGGCUCAGUAACGCGUAGUCAACCUAACCUAUGGACGGGAAUAACCUCGGGAAACUGAGAAUAAUGCCCGAUAGAACACUAUACCUGGAAUGGUUUGUGUUCCAAAUGAUUUAUCGCCGUAGGAUGGGACUGCGGCCUAUCAGUUUGUUGGUGAGGUAAUGGCCCACCAAGACUAUUACAGGUACGGGCUCUGAGAGGAGUAACUCGGAGAUGGGUACUGAGACACGGACCCAGGCCCUAUGGGGCGCAGCAGGCGAGAAAACUUUGCAAUGUGCGAAAGCACGACAAGGUUAAUCCGAGUGAUUUGUGCUAAACGAAUCUUUUGUUAGUCCUAGAAACACUAACGAAUAAGGGGUGGGCAAGUUCUGGUGUCAGCCGCCGCGGUAAAACCAGCACCUCAAGUGGUCAGGAUGAUUAUUGGGCCUAAAGCAUCCGUAGCCGGCUCUGUAAGUUUUCGGUUAAAUCUGUACGCUCAACGUACAGGCUGCCGGGAAUACUGCAGAGCUAGGGAGUGGGAGAGGUAGACGGUACUCGGUAGGAAGGGGUAAAAUCCUUUGAUCUAUUGAUGACCACCUGUGGCGAAGGCGGUCUACCAGAACACGUCCGACGGUGAGGGAUGAAAGCUGGGGGAGCAAACCGGAUUAGAUACCCGGGUAGUCCCAGCUGUAAACUAUGCAAACUCAGUGAUGCAUUGACUUGUGGUCAAUGCAGUGCUGCAGGGAAGCCGUUAAGUUUGCCGCCUGGGAAGUACGUACGCAAGUAUGAAACUUAAAGGAAUUGGCGGGGGAGCACCACAAGGGGUGAAGCCUGCGGUUCAAUUGGAGUCAACGCCGGGA